This is a long non-coding RNA of Rhipicephalus sanguineus (brown dog tick), 226 nucleotides long. RefSeq lists it as uncharacterized. The transcript is spliced from 2 exons. The record is from RefSeq and is a predicted model, not a curated record. Lineage: Eukaryota; Metazoa; Arthropoda; Arachnida; Ixodida; Ixodidae.
UCAAGUCGAAGCUCAAGCCAAAGAAAAAUCCGAGCGGAUUUGUGGCUGUUGGUCGACGGAUGCCUGCGUUGGUACCGUGCCCAUGUUUUCUCGAUAAAUAAUGACGAAUGCUUACACCUUCGAUGGCCUGGUGGUUUUUGGACUCUUGGUGAUUUGCACCUGCGCUUAUAUGCGCAGAGUUCCCCGGCUGAAGCAGUGGUUUCUGUCUGAGAAGAAGGGAUUUUGG